Zalophus californianus (California sea lion) is the source of this 250-nucleotide long non-coding RNA. RefSeq lists it as uncharacterized. NCBI's taxonomy places the organism in Eukaryota, Metazoa, Chordata, Mammalia, Carnivora, Otariidae. The transcript is spliced from 3 exons. The record is from RefSeq and is a predicted model, not a curated record.
GGGACAGAAGAACAGUGGAGAGGAGGUUAGAAAAAUGAAGGGAGAGCCAAAUCAAGUAGGACCUGCUAGAUAUUACAUGGAUAUCCACCUGUUUGUCAAUAUCUCCUUUCAAGGGUUCCUCACAGAAGGUUUAAUAUCCUGGUGUAGAGCCCCUAGAUAUGAGCCACUUCCACAAUGAUCUACACUUUUGGAAUGGAUAAAUACCAGUUUUAGUCAUCUAUAAAUAUUCAAGCAUUAUGGAGAAUGACAG